CCUACGGGAGGCAGCAGUGAGGAAUAUUGGUCAAUGGCCGGGAGGCUGAACCAGCAAAGUCGCGUGAGGGAAGACGGCCCUACGGGUUGUAAACCUCUUUUGCCAGGGAGAAAGGUGCAGGUCGGGAUCUGCUGUGAGAGUACCCUAAGAACAAGCAUCGGCUAACUCCGUGCCAGCAGCCGCGGUAAUACGGCGGAUGCGAGCGUUAUCCGGAUUUAUUGGGGUUAAAGGGUGCGCAGGCGGGGGCACAAGGCAGCGGUAAAAUCGCGGGGCUCAACCCCGCUCCGCCGUUGAAACUGUGGCCCUUGAGUGCGCGAAGGGUAGGCGGAAUGCGUGGUGUAGCGGUGAAAUGCAUAGAUAUCACGCAGAACUCCGAUCGCGAAGGCAGCCUACCGGCGCGCAACUGACGCUCAUGCACGAAAGCGUGGGUAUCGAACAGGAUUAGAUACCCCAGUAGUC
Molecule: ribosomal RNA, 459 nt
Filed under: uncultured bacterium
Lineage: Bacteria
Description: partial 16S ribosomal RNA
Rfam family: Bacterial small subunit ribosomal RNA
Source: RNAcentral